AGAUUGAACGCUGGCGGCAGGCCUAACACAUGCAAGUCGAGCGGCAGCACGGGUACUUGUACCUGGUGGCGAGCGGCGGACGGGUGAGUAAUGCCUAGGAAUCUGCCUGAUAGUGGGGGGAUAACGUUCGGAAACGGACGCUAAUACCGCAUACGUCCUACGGGAGAAAGUGGGGGAUCUUCGGACCUCACGCUAUCAGAUGAGCCUAGGUCGGAUUAGCUAGUUGGUAGGUAAAGCCUACCAAGGCUACGAUCCGUAACUGGUCUGAGAGGAUGAUCAGUCACACUGGAACUGAGACACGGUCCAGACUCCUACGGGAGGCAGCAGUGGGGAAUAUUGGACAAUGGGCGAAAGCCUGAUCCAGCCAUGCCGCGUGUGUGAAGAAGGUCUUCGGAUUGUAAAGCUAACUUUAAGGUUGGAAGGAAGGCAAGUUAAACCUAAUACGUUAGUGUUUUAGACGUUUACGACAGAAUAAGCACCGGUCUAACUCUGUGCCAGCAGCCG
RNAcentral lists this ribosomal RNA (504 nucleotides) under uncultured soil bacterium. Its description in RNAcentral is "bacterial SSU rRNA". It matches the Rfam family "Bacterial small subunit ribosomal RNA", at positions 26 to 517 of the family's 1533-position model. The record is from RNAcentral.